UGCGGCUGGAUCCCCUCCUUUCUAGGGAGAAACCUUAGACAUGCGAAUGCAGAUUCGCAAACCAAGUGAGAGUUGUCAAUCUCUCACGCCACAUGCGUUCUUUUGAUCUUUUCUUUCCACUCUUCCGUUGUUAAGACAAAAAAAUUAUCGAACACAGUACCUUACCAACUAAAGAGAGCGUGCGAUGGCUCACUCAGGAGACCAUUGCAUGCACAAAGUGAAUGGUAAUCUUUAACACGAGGCGGCGUGGCGUGCAGCGUUAUGCGUUGUGCGACAUGCCGAACUGCUGGAUUGAAGGUCAGGCACGAGAGGGUGAUGUGGAGGUGUGAACAACACCAACCUCACGUCUCGAUGCGCUUGACCACAGAGCAAUCCCGAGAAUAAGAUAUUAAGGGCACAGGGUGGAUGCCUUGGCGCCAAGAGCCGAAGAAGGACGCGGUAGACUGCGAAAAGUCACGGGGAGUCGUCUGCAGACAUUAUAUCCGUGAAUUUCCGAAUGGGGAAACCCGG
This 510-nucleotide unclassified non-coding RNA is filed under the name uncultured bacterium. Its description in RNAcentral is "partial contains 16S ribosomal RNA, 16S-23S ribosomal RNA intergenic spacer, and 23S ribosomal RNA". The stretch from base 379 to 510 matches the Rfam family "Bacterial large subunit ribosomal RNA", at positions 1 to 131 of the family's 2925-position model. The record is from RNAcentral.